GCGGGUAUAGUUCAAUGGCAGAACACCAGUUUGUGGCACUGGUUAUGAGGGUUCGAUUCCCUCUACUCGCC
This 71-nucleotide transfer RNA is filed under the name Candidatus Moraniibacteriota bacterium. RNAcentral describes it as "tRNA-His". It matches the Rfam family "tRNA". From Rfam's summary of the family: Transfer RNA (tRNA) molecules are approximately 80 nucleotides in length. Their secondary structure includes four short double-helical elements and three loops (D, anti-codon, and T loops). Further hydrogen bonds mediate the characteristic L-shaped molecular structure. tRNAs have two regions of fundamental functional importance: the anti-codon, which is responsible for specific mRNA codon recognition, and the 3' end, to which the tRNAs corresponding amino acid is attached (by aminoacyl-tRNA synthetases). tRNAs cope with the degeneracy of the genetic code in two manners: having more than one tRNA (with a specific anti-codon) for a particular amino acid; and 'wobble' base-pairing, i.e. permitting non-standard base-pairing at the 3rd anti-codon position. Lineage: Bacteria; Candidatus Moraniibacteriota. The record is from RNAcentral.